GCAGCCUGAUCCAGCCAUACCGCGUGGGUGAAGAAGGCCUUCGGGUUGUAAAGCCCUUUUGUUGGGAAAGAAAAGCAUUCGGUUAAUACCCGGGUGUUCUGACGGUACCCAAAGAAUAAGCACCGGCUAACUUCGUGCCAGCAGCCGCGGUAAUACGAAGGGUGCAAGCGUUACUCGGAAUUACUGGGCGUAAAGCGUGCGUAGGUGGUUGUUUAAGUCCGUUGUGAAAGCCCUGGGCUCAACCUGGGAAUUGCAGUGGAUACUGGGCAACUAGAGUGUGGUAGAGGAUAGUGGAAUUUCCGGUGUAGCAGUGAAAUGCGUAGAGAUCGGAAGGAACAUCUGUGGCGAAGGCGACUAUCUGGGCCAACACUGACACUGAGGCACGAAAGCGUGGGGAGCAAACAGGAUUAGAUACCCUGGUAGUCCACGCCCUAAACGAUGCGAACUGGAUGUUGGGUUCAACUUGGAACCCAGUAUCGAAGCUAACGCGUUAAGUUCGCCGCCUGGGGAGUACGGUCGCAAGACUGAAACUCAAAGGAAUUGACGGGGGCCCGCACAAGCGGUGGAGUAUGUGGUUUAAUUCGAUGCAACGCGAAGAACCUUACCUGGUCUUGACAUCCACGGAACUUUCUAGAGAU
This 638-nucleotide ribosomal RNA is filed under the name Pseudoxanthomonas sp. Ri1Pw_5722. Its description in RNAcentral is "bacterial SSU rRNA". It matches the Rfam family "Bacterial small subunit ribosomal RNA", at positions 378 to 1007 of the family's 1533-position model. Lineage: Bacteria; Pseudomonadati; Pseudomonadota; Gammaproteobacteria; Lysobacterales; Lysobacteraceae. The record is from RNAcentral.